CUUUCUGGGCGGUGUGUUAGACCCAGGAGCACAGCCAGGAACCACAGGAGACCAGUUCCCUCAGGCAAGGAGAGAGCAAGAACCAGUGUGCUUUCCUCUAUAAUUAUUACAAUGUUUCCACAGCCACCAGCUGAAUACCAAUACCCAGCGCAACUUUGGAAGUAGUCACACAUUGAAGAUGGCAGACAAUCUGUAGCCUGGGUUCCUGAACGAAUGC
Prionailurus viverrinus (fishing cat) is the source of this 217-nucleotide long non-coding RNA. RefSeq lists it as uncharacterized. The record is from RefSeq and is a predicted model, not a curated record. The transcript has 3 exons. NCBI's taxonomy places the organism in Eukaryota, Metazoa, Chordata, Mammalia, Carnivora, Felidae.